GGACGCUCCCGCGCGACCCGGGGCUCCCCACCCCCCGCUCCCCGCUGCGUGCCGCCUCCUCCGGCCGCCGGGGCUGAUGCAUUAACCAUGAUGUGGCUGCCGGUGAUGCGUUUGUGCGGAGCAGGCAGCGCGGGCGGGUGAGCGCGCAGAGCGCCGGCCCCUCCGCUCCGCUCCGCGGAGCCACCGCCAGCCGCGCGGAGCCGAGCCGCGGCCGCCCCGCUCUCGAUGGCGCCGGAGGAGGAAGGAAAGCUUCCCCCUUGCACCUGCUCCGUCGAGACUUGUCAUCUGAAUGUGGAGGAGAGCUAUAAAUCAUGUCGCGUGUGCGCGGCGGAGCCGGCUUCCGCGAGCCCUCGGACUGUGUGUCCCCGUGCUGAGCUUGUGUUUCCCGCUAGGAAAAGGCUGAAACUCAGCAAUGCAGCUCACCAUUACCAAUCUUAUCCCUCUAUGGUUGCUUCCACCUUUCUAUCACCUGGAUGCUCAAGGUAUGUGGAUUUGCCCUUGUAAUAUCACUGUAAGGUGAAAU
Molecule: long non-coding RNA, 523 nt
Filed under: Dromaius novaehollandiae (emu)
Lineage: Eukaryota; Metazoa; Chordata; Aves; Casuariiformes; Dromaiidae
Description: lncRNA (ENSDNVG00000003138.1)
Source: RNAcentral